AUUGAACGCUGGCGGCAUGCUUUACACAUGCCAGUCGAACGGCAGCGCGGGCUUCGGCCUGGCGGCGAGUGGCGAACGGGUGAGUAAUACAUCGGAACGUGCCCAGUAGUGGGGGAUAGCUCGGCGAAAGCCGGAUUAAUACCGCAUACGACCUGAGGGUGAAAGGGGGGGAUCUUCGGACCUCGCGCUAUUGGAGCGGCCGAUGGCAGAUUAGCUAGUUGGUGGGGUAAAGGCCUACCAAGGCGACGAUCUGUAGCUGGUCUGAGAGGACGACCAGCCACACUGGGACUGAGACACGGCCCAGACUCCUACGGGAGGCAGCAGUGGGGAAUUUUGGACAAUGGGCGAAAGCCUGAUCCAGCAAUGCCGCGUGUGUGAUGAAGGCCUUCGGGUUGUAAAGCACUUUUGGUGGGAACGAAAAGGACUGUGCCAAUACCACGGUUCGAUGACGGUACCCGCAGAAUAAGCACCGGCUAACUACGUG
Molecule: ribosomal RNA, 484 nt
Filed under: uncultured bacterium
Lineage: Bacteria
Description: partial 16S ribosomal RNA
Rfam family: Bacterial small subunit ribosomal RNA
Source: RNAcentral